RNAcentral lists this ribosomal RNA (492 nucleotides) under uncultured bacterium. RNAcentral's name for it is "partial 16S ribosomal RNA". It matches the Rfam family "Bacterial small subunit ribosomal RNA", at positions 29 to 507 of the family's 1533-position model. The record is from RNAcentral.
AGUGAACGCUGGCGAUAGGCCUAACACAUGCAAGUCGAACGGCAGCACAGUAAGAGCCUGCUCUUACGGGUGGCGAGUGGCGGACGGGUGAGGAAUACAUCGGAAUCUACUUUUUCGUGGGGGAUAACGUAGGGAAACUUACGCUAAUACCGCAUACGACCUACGGGUGAAAGCAGGGGAUCUUCGGACCUUGCGCGAUUGAAUGAGCCGAUGUCGGAUUAGCUAGUUGGCGGGGUAAAGGCCCACCAAGGCGACGAUCCGUAGCUGGUCUGAGAGGAUGAUCAGCCACACUGGAACUGAGACACGGUCCAGACUCCUACGGGAGGCAGCAGUGGGGAAUAUUGGACAAUGGGCGCAAGCCUGAUCCAGCCAUACCGCGUGGGUGAAGAAGGCCUUCGGGUUGUAAAGCCCUUUUGUUGGGAAAGAAAAGCAGCAGGUUAAUACCCCGCUGUUCUGACGGUACCCGAAGAAUAAGCACCGGCUAACUUCGUG